This 87-nucleotide microRNA precursor is filed under the name Mus pahari (shrew mouse). RNAcentral's name for it is "miRNA (MGP_PahariEiJ_G0007790.1)". Lineage: Eukaryota; Metazoa; Chordata; Mammalia; Rodentia; Muridae. The record is from RNAcentral.
CACACUUGUGUGUGUGUGUGUGUGUGUGUGUGUGUACAUAAAUGUGUAUGUAUAUAUAUAUAUAUACAUAUACACACACAGACAUAC